This 589-nucleotide ribosomal RNA is filed under the name Colletotrichum gloeosporioides. Its description in RNAcentral is "eukaryotic LSU rRNA". The stretch from base 212 to 365 matches the Rfam family "5.8S ribosomal RNA". The record is from RNAcentral. Lineage: Eukaryota; Fungi; Ascomycota; Sordariomycetes; Glomerellales; Glomerellaceae.
CCCAAUACUUCCGUAGGUGAACCUGCGGAGGGAUCAUUACUGAGUUUACGCUCUACAACCCUUUGUGAACAUACCUAUAACUGUUGCUUCGGCGGGUAGGGUCUCCGCGACCCUCCCGGCCUCCCGCCUCCGGGCGGGUCGGCGCCCGCCGGAGGAUAACCAAACUCUGAUUUAACGACGUUUCUUCUGAGUGGUACAAGCAAAUAAUCAAAACUUUUAACAACGGAUCUCUUGGUUCUGGCAUCGAUGAAGAACGCAGCGAAAUGCGAUAAGUAAUGUGAAUUGCAGAAUUCAGUGAAUCAUCGAAUCUUUGAACGCACAUUGCGCCCGCCAGCAUUCUGGCGGGCAUGCCUGUUCGAGCGUCAUUUCAACCCUCAAGCUCUGCUUGGUGUUGGGGCCCUACAGCUGAUGUAGGCCCUCAAAGGUAGUGGCGGACCCUCUCGGAGCCUCCUUUGCGUAGUAACUUUACGUCUCGCACUGGGAUCCGGAGGGACUCUUGCCGUAAAACCCCCAAUUUUCCAAAGGUUGACCUCGGAUCAGGUAGGAAUACCCGCUGAACUUAAGCAUAUCAAUAAGCGGAGGAAGUAUU